CAGCAGCCACGGUAAUACGUAGGUGGCAAGCGUUGUCCGGAAUUAUUGGGCGUAAAGGGCUCGCAGGCGGUUUCUUACGUCUGAUGUGAAGGCCCCCGGCUCAACCGGGGAGGGUCAUUGGAAACUGGGAAACUUGAGUGCAGAAGGGGAGAGUGGAAUUCCACGUGUAGCGGUGAAAUGCGUAGAGAUGUGGAGGAACACCAGUGGCGAAGGCGACUCUCUGGUCUGUAACUGACGCUGAGGAGCGAAAGCGUGGGGAGCGAACAGGAUUAGAGACCCGCGUAGUCCCUGUCUCUUAUAC
RNAcentral lists this ribosomal RNA (301 nucleotides) under uncultured bacterium. RNAcentral's name for it is "partial 16S ribosomal RNA". It matches the Rfam family "Bacterial small subunit ribosomal RNA", at positions 509 to 807 of the family's 1533-position model. The record is from RNAcentral.